Molecule: unclassified non-coding RNA, 385 nt
Filed under: Hevea brasiliensis (rubber tree)
Lineage: Eukaryota; Viridiplantae; Streptophyta; Magnoliopsida; Malpighiales; Euphorbiaceae
Source: RNAcentral
CGGAUUCUGAUUUGGAGGAAGGCUAUAAGCGCAAAACUGGAAGUAAGGAGAAGAAAAGACACAGAAAAUCAGACAGGCGCGACACUUCUUCGGACUCUGAAGACAGCUAUGAUACUGAAUUGGAGAGGAAAGAGACCAGAAGGAGGAAGAAGGAGGAGAGGAGGUUGCGGAAGGAAAAGAAACGCCAAAAACGUGAAGAGCGACGGCGCAAAAAGGAAGAGCGGCGUGCAGAGAAGACAAAAGCUAAGAACCUCAGUGAUGAUUACUCGGAUGAUGAUCGAGUUGCAAAGGAAGAAUCUUAUCCCAGCGAUGCUGCAGAUGAGGCUGAGCACAGAAGGCUAGAGAUCGAGUUAAGGAAGAAGGCAUUGGAAUCAUUCAAUGCGAG